UACGAAGGGGGCUAGCGUUGCUCGGAACCACUGGGCGUAAAGCGCACGUAGGCGGACUCUUAAGUCGGUGGUGAAAUCCUGGAGCUCAACUCCAGAACUGCCUUUGAUACUGAGGAUCUUGAGUUCGGGAGAGGUGAGUGGAACUGCGAGUGUAGAGGUGAAAUUCGUAGAUAUUCGCAAGAACACCAGUGGCGAAGGCGGCUCACUGGCCCGAUACUGACGCUGAGGCACGAAAGCGUGGGGAGCAAACAGG
Molecule: ribosomal RNA, 253 nt
Filed under: uncultured bacterium
Lineage: Bacteria
Description: partial 16S ribosomal RNA
Rfam family: Bacterial small subunit ribosomal RNA
Source: RNAcentral